This 301-nucleotide ribosomal RNA is filed under the name uncultured bacterium. RNAcentral's name for it is "partial 16S ribosomal RNA". It matches the Rfam family "Bacterial small subunit ribosomal RNA", at positions 509 to 809 of the family's 1533-position model. The record is from RNAcentral.
CAGCCGCCGCGGUAAUACGUAGGUGGCAAGCGUUGUCCGGAAUUAUUGGGCGUAAAGGGCUCGCAGGCGGUUUCUUAAGUCUGAUGUGAAAGCCCCCGGCUCAACCGGGGAGGGUCAUUGGAAACUGGGAAACUUGAGUGCAGAAGAGGAGAGUGGAAUUCCACGUGUAGCGGUGAAAUGCGUAGAGAUGUGGAGGAACACCAGUGGCGAAGGCGACUCUCUGGUCUGUAACUGACGCUGAGGAGCGAAAGCGUGGGGAGCGAACAGGAUUAGAUACCCCUGUAGUCCCUGUCUCUUAUCC